GCCUUCGUGGUGUAGUGGUCAGCACGCUCGACGCGUAUUCGAGAGGAUCGUAGUUCGAGUCCUGGCGGAGGCA
RNAcentral lists this transfer RNA (73 nucleotides) under Stegodyphus mimosarum. It matches the Rfam family "tRNA". From Rfam's summary of the family: Transfer RNA (tRNA) molecules are approximately 80 nucleotides in length. Their secondary structure includes four short double-helical elements and three loops (D, anti-codon, and T loops). Further hydrogen bonds mediate the characteristic L-shaped molecular structure. tRNAs have two regions of fundamental functional importance: the anti-codon, which is responsible for specific mRNA codon recognition, and the 3' end, to which the tRNAs corresponding amino acid is attached (by aminoacyl-tRNA synthetases). tRNAs cope with the degeneracy of the genetic code in two manners: having more than one tRNA (with a specific anti-codon) for a particular amino acid; and 'wobble' base-pairing, i.e. permitting non-standard base-pairing at the 3rd anti-codon position. Lineage: Eukaryota; Metazoa; Arthropoda; Arachnida; Araneae; Eresidae. The record is from Rfam by way of RNAcentral.